RNAcentral lists this unclassified non-coding RNA (303 nucleotides) under uncultured fungus. RNAcentral describes it as "partial contains 5.8S ribosomal RNA, internal transcribed spacer 2, and large subunit ribosomal RNA". The record is from RNAcentral. Lineage: Eukaryota; Fungi.
AACGCAAAUUGCACUCUCCGGUUUUCCGGGAGAGUAUGCCUGUUUGAGGGUCAGCCUAAAAAAAAUCGACAUUGUUGCUGUUUUAUGGUGACUUUCGUCGGAGAUUUGGGUUAUCUUAAACCUUUAGGUUUAAGCGACUUUAAAUUUUUUUUUUUACGAUUCUAAGAACGUUUCUAAAGAAUUUUUUCUUGUACGUUCAAGGUAUCGAGUAAUCUUAUUAGACGUGACCGUCAUAUCGGAUCGUGUCCAUAAUUUUUUUUCGUUAACUGACCUCAGACAGGUAAGAGUACCCGCUGAACUUAA